Quercus robur (English oak) is the source of this 1345-nucleotide RNA transcript. RefSeq lists it as uncharacterized. The record is from RefSeq and is a predicted model, not a curated record. The transcript has 11 exons. NCBI's taxonomy places the organism in Eukaryota, Viridiplantae, Streptophyta, Magnoliopsida, Fagales, Fagaceae.
CUUCUUCUUCACGGUUAGUUCAGCGGCCCCUCACAUACGUUACCAUCCAAAAUUCCAUACAGAUUUACAUUGUUCACACUGAACGAAUAUUUCCACCCUUUACUCUCCAAUGGGUGUAUAUAGCAGUACAUCAUGAUCAGAGGACACAGAUCAAUAGUGAAUAAGAAUCACUCUAAAACUGUAGCUCUCAUCUUUGUCCCCUCUGCUUUCCUCUUCUACUCUCUCUUCAACAUGGCUUUCCACAACCAACCUUCAUCUUCAGAUUCUGUAAUUUCGAAUGACGAGCAGAGGUCGAGAUUGUAUGAUAAGAUGGAGAGGGAUUUGGAUGAGAACGGGCCUGCUUUUCUUAAACAAGGUGAAACAUCUCAGUCGUUGUCACUUUCGGAUAUUUUCACUUUGAAGGAUGGAUAUGUAACACCCAUACUUAAGGCAGCAAACCCUCCUGUACGGGCUAAUGUUUUGUAUCUGAGCACCGAAUACUCAGUGCGCAUCUCGGAGGCUGUGAAACAUAUUUUUAAUCCGUACUUUGAUAAAGCAAUCUGGUUUCAGAACUCCAGCAUGUACCAUUUUAGCAUGUUUCAUGCUUCACAUCAUAUUACACCUGUUCCUGCUUCUGAAGAUGAGAUAGAAGUGGAAGCAAGUGCUGUUCAUGCUGUUGCAGAUGAUCUCUGUCCUUUAAAAAUUGUUUUAGACAGGGUGGUUUUAACCUCAACUGGUGUGCUUUUGGGUUGCUGGCAGGUAAUCUCUGGGACAGAUCCCAUAACCAUUCGUGCCAAGCUGAGGACUGCACUUCCACAUGCGCCAGAAAAGCAACUUUAUGAUGCUGCUAUUCUUCACACAUCAUUUGCAAGGCUUCUGGGACACCCCACAGCAACUCCAAUGGAGCUGCAUAAAACUUCAGAUGAAGUUCAAUUCUUCCAUGACCUAGUUGCUAAGCUAAACAAUCAAAUCCGUGGAAUGGAGCCAAUCCAUCAGUAUAAUUGCUUCAAAGUAUUGACCAUGACCAUCUAGACAUCAUGACUACAGACUUCACACAAAUGUUUACAACUUUUAGACUUCUGGCUGUGGUGUCUGAGCUCUGGUAUGUGGAGGAAUAUGAUGUGCUUGCUCUUGCAUUGGAUGGAAGAACGAAGAUUCGCAGGUUUCAACUUGGCUGCUCAAGAACCCAAGAUUCCAAAGAUGACAAGCAUAAUUAAAAGCAUAUUUCAUUACUUAUAUAUAUGAAAAAAAAAAAAUAUCAAAAGCAUAUUCAUAGAUUUACAGGAUCUUUCAUGAUGGAAGUGUGUACUUAAUAUACAUUUUCGUUUAAGAUGGUCCUAAUAUUAGAAAAUCUUGUCACGUCUUA